This 433-nucleotide ribosomal RNA is filed under the name uncultured bacterium. RNAcentral's name for it is "partial 16S ribosomal RNA". It matches the Rfam family "Bacterial small subunit ribosomal RNA", at positions 29 to 507 of the family's 1533-position model. The record is from RNAcentral.
AACGAACGCUGGCGGCAUGCCUAACACAUGCAAGUCGAACGAGACCUUCGGGUCUAGUGGCGCACGGGUGCGUAACGCGUGGGAACCUGCCCUUAGGUUCGGAAUAACUCCCCGAAAGGGGUGCUAAUACCGGAUAAUGUCUUCGGACCAAAGAUUUAUCGCCUUUGGAUGGGCCCGCGUUGGAUUAGCUAGUUGGUAGGGUAAAAGCCUACCAAGGCGACGAUCCAUAGCUGGUCUGAGAGGAUGAUCAGCCACACUGGGACUGAGACACGGCCCAGACUCCUACGGGAGGCAGCAGUGGGGAAUAUUGGACAAUGGGCGAAAGCCUGAUCCAGCAAUGCCGCGUGAGUGAUGAAGGCCUUAGAGUUGUAAAGCUGUUUUACCCGGGAUGAUAAUGACAGUACCGGGAGAAUAAGCUCCGGCUAACUCCGUG